GCGGUAUUACAGCCUAGUUCACGGUCAACAGUGAUAACCGUUGAGUGAACGUUAGUGGACGACAGGAGCAGGGCUCUUGAUUAUCAUCAGAAAAAAAAAUGCACUGGUAACCCCUGUAAUUAAAUGUGCCACACCAGUUUGGACCCAGUAUGUCAUUCUGAUCCUGCAACAGGCAGUUUCAGAGAUGAUCAGAGUAAAUCUCAGGACACGGCCAAGCUUCCAGGGCUUUAUUUAAAAAGAAGAAUCUCUGCAAGUUGCUGUGGCAUGGCCCCUUUCUAAUGCAUCAUAGAUGAUAUCCAGAUCUAUGUUCCCUUAAAGCCUGAGAAGGGGUUUACCCUCCAGCUAUUGCUGGACUGUCUCGAUGACAUUAGAGCUGGGCUGCCACUAAACUUCCUACACCUCAAUGAGGGCAAAGUGGAGUGUAUAGCGCUGGGACACCCCUCUCCAGUGGCUGCCUAGGUCAUUGUCCUUGGACCUCUAUCAUCAUACGUUAAACCUGCGCACUUUGGUCAACCAGAUGUUGUAAAGUGCUGGAUGAAUAAUAUGACUUGAGUCAAUUGGAUGGAGACCAUACUAACGUCUGCACCACUAAUUCAUGGAUUUCAGUCACAUCUGUUUUUCCAGUUCCUGUGUCACAGAGUUGUUGAUCGACAGUGAGUCUGUCCCCCAACAAGCCUCAGCCCGGUGCUCCCUCUCUGUUCACUCUGGGUUUGGUCUCCACCACCUCCUGAGGGAAACCCUCUGGUUCUGGAGCUGCUAAACGCUCCACUGUGUUCCCCAGCUGGUCUCUGACUGGCUCUGUCUGCAGUUUGCCGCUGAGCAGGUUGUGGACGGCGGCUGUGUAGAGCGUCUCCUCUGCUAACAGCAGCUUCCUGCUGCGGCCCAGAACCAGGCUACGAGAGAAGGGAGAGUGAACCAGGACAGUAGAGCUGUGGUCCGUCACUAAACAAUGAGCUGAGACUCACUGUGAAGCUGUGUAACACUGAAGGGAGCUGCAGAUUCAGCUGAUCAGUAUGUGCAGGUUCAUCACUACAGGAAAAGCCUCAGAUAUUUUCACAGUUUCCUGGUCAUUUCCACUGUAAUCCUGACAAAAUGCUUCUCUGAAGAUACUAGAUUUCACUAGAUAUUACUGUAAUUAUUGUACUACACCUCAUCAGACACAAGAUUGGAGGGAAAAGGAGACUAAAGUGAAGGUGGGAGACAGUAAGUCUUAGAGAUGUGGAUGGCAGAGGCAGACUGGGGGGUAAGAUAAAGUACAAGAUUAGGGAAGAAAGAAACACUGGGGGCAAUGGCACAAAGAUGAAGAGGGCAACAGAGAGAUGGUGGGAAGAAGCCUAAAGAACAGAAUGACCAGGAGGAAUGUUUAUGACUGAUCAGAGACAGAAAUACAGAAGGGUGAAGAAAGC
Molecule: long non-coding RNA, 1406 nt
Organism: Monopterus albus (swamp eel)
Lineage: Eukaryota; Metazoa; Chordata; Actinopteri; Synbranchiformes; Synbranchidae
Exons: 6
Source: RefSeq, a predicted model, not a curated record